Lycium ferocissimum is the source of this 1662-nucleotide long non-coding RNA. RefSeq lists it as uncharacterized. Lineage: Eukaryota; Viridiplantae; Streptophyta; Magnoliopsida; Solanales; Solanaceae. The record is from RefSeq and is a predicted model, not a curated record. The transcript has 2 exons.
UUGUCUUUGUCUUUCUCUUUCCUCUCACUUGCAGAUCAAGAGAGAAGAAGAUGACUCAACAAUUGCUAAGGCCUAAAAGGCAAAGGAAUAGGCCAAGGCUAACUAAAGGAAAUUGCACUGGAAGAAAGAUUCAAUGGAUCAAAGAUCUCACCUGUAGUUCCAAGAGAACUUCAGAGUCAUGGAAGUGAAGGUAAAUUCGCACUUCUAUGGAUAAAUAUAAGUGCUAGCUGCAAUUAAAUGUAGUCAAUCAAUAUGAAAUGGCAACAUUCAUUUACUUUUAUGUCUAGACACUGUGGCGGAUGAAGGACAAACUUGACGGGGUCAAUUGUACCCAUUAUUUUCAACACGGAGCAUGAACUAAUAUACUAUUUAAAAAGCGUAGGAUUCAAUAGUAAAAUCUAGAGGUUGAAUCCACGAAAUUUAAAUCUUGAAUCUGCCUCUUUGGCUAGAACUUAAGGGUAGUUGCAGAACCAGUGUCCUUUAGUGUUUUUGUGUGUGUGUGUGUGUAUAUAUACACACACAAGCGUUGAGAUUAUUCUACACGUAGGUAGGUAAUAUUGGGAAAUUUGCUAGGUCGUUUUCUGGGAUAGUUCUAUAUAUGUGAGAUAUGACAAAGUGAACCUUCAGAACUUCAUCUUGGAAGUUCACUGCUUUUCUAAGUGUCAUUCCAUCUAUUCUACAAGUUAGCAAACACCUAGAAAAUGAAAAAGAAGAACGGUAUCAUCAAUUGAGCAUAAUUACAAGUCGCAGCUUGAGCUGCAGUUAUAUAGAGACCCUUCUACACUACUAAAAGGAUAAAUGCUAAAGUUCGCAUUUAUAUCUAAUUCCGUUUGUUUUGAUCGGCUUUAACUUGUAGAAAAAGUGUGCAGUACUUAGGAUUCAACAUUGUAGUUAUGUAAUGUCUUCUCAACAUAUAGACAACCUUACAUAUUACACUAGAGAAAGUGGAACUUCAUAUCUACAAUCUGAGCCACUGCUUUUGUUGAGUAUCUGCAAAUGGAUGAUACGCCGUUCAGAAAGUUUCCACUAAGAAAUUAUCUUAUAUGAUUCUUUAAAUUUUCAACAUGGCAAGAUUAGUAAAUUACAAAGACAUAAAUUUUACAAUCUCAACUCGACCAACAUUUUGGAAAAGAAUAUUAUAUAUCAUUAUUCAUUCAUUUGGGAUUGGGAAGCUUUUAAAAAAGCUUAAAGCCUUAGACCAUGCUAAUUCAGUUCUAAAAGAGAAUACUGCAUGAUCUUACUCUAUCUCGAGUCUAGGAUUCCAAAUAUAGUUCUUCUUGACCAUACAAGACUGAGUGAAAUAUUGGUUACACACCUGUAUAGCUUUAUAAGAUGGUCCAAGUUCAUUAAAUCAAGUGCCAUAAUCAAAACGCUUGAGGCAGAAAGCAAGUUUUACAUUCAUAUUGUAGCAAAUUUUACAUUCAUAUUGUGAAAGUUUUGACUUUAAUCACUCAUGAAACACAAUAGGAAAGCCAUUGAUGUUGCCUAUAAUUUGUGGAGACUUGCUGUAAUUUCUAUAUAGGUAGGGUAACUUUUGGUACCGUAGCAUGUAUGUUUACAUUUUCAGAUUUAAGUGCUUCAUAAAAUUGUACUAUUCUUAGCGAUAAAACUUUAUAUGUGAAUUAAAGCAAAAUUUUAUAGCACAAUGUACUAUUACCAUGA